ACUCGGGUGGCGAACGGGUGAGUAACACGUGGGUGAUCUGCCCUGCACUUCGGGAUAAGCUUGGGAAACUGGGUCUAAUACCGGAUAGGAGCCAUCUUUAGUGUGGUGGUUGGAAAGUUUUUUCGGUGUAGGAUGAGCUCGCGGCCUAUCAGCUUGUUGGUGGGGUAAUGGCCUACCAAGGCGGCGACGGGUAGCCGGCCUGAGAGGGUGUACGGCCACAUUGGGACUGAGAUACGGCCCAG
Molecule: ribosomal RNA, 242 nt
Filed under: uncultured Actinomycetales bacterium
Lineage: Bacteria; Bacillati; Actinomycetota; Actinomycetes; Actinomycetales
Description: partial 16S ribosomal RNA
Rfam family: Bacterial small subunit ribosomal RNA
Source: RNAcentral